UGUUCCGUAGUGUAGCGGUUAUGACAUUUGCUUUACACGUGAAAGGUCUCCGGUUCGAUCCCGGACGGUACCA
This is a non-coding RNA of Trichonephila clavipes, 73 nucleotides long. NCBI's taxonomy places the organism in Eukaryota, Metazoa, Arthropoda, Arachnida, Araneae, Nephilidae. The record is from the annotation of a GenBank genome assembly.